This 530-nucleotide ribosomal RNA is filed under the name uncultured Spiroplasma sp. Its description in RNAcentral is "bacterial SSU rRNA". It matches the Rfam family "Bacterial small subunit ribosomal RNA", at positions 132 to 650 of the family's 1533-position model. Lineage: Bacteria; Bacillati; Mycoplasmatota; Mollicutes; Entomoplasmatales; Spiroplasmataceae. The record is from RNAcentral.
UUUAGUGGGGAAUAACUGUUGGAAACGACAGCUAAUACCGCAUAAUAUUGCUGGAUAAUUUCCAGUAAUGAAAGGAGCUUUCAAGCUCCGCUGAUUGAUGAGGAUGCGGCGCAUUAGCUAGUUGGUAGGGUAAUGGCCUACCAAGGCAAUGAUGCGUAGCCGAUCUGAGAGGAUGAACGGCCACAUUGGGACUGAGACACGGCCCAAACUUCUACGGAAGGCAGCAGUAGGGAAUUUUUCACAAUGGGCGAAAGCCUGAUGGAGCAAUGCCGCGUGACUGAUGAAGGUCUUCGGAUUGUAAAGGUCUGUUGUAAGGGAAGAAAUGGUAAAACAGGAAAUGGUUUUAUCUAUGACGGUACCUUACCAGAAAGCCACGGCUAACUAUGUGCCAGCAGCCGCGGUAAUACAUAGGUGGCAAGCGUUAUCCGGAUUUAUUGGGCGUAAAGGGUGCGUAGACGGUUUUGCAAGUCUGANGUUAAAUUUAGGAGCUCAACUCCNAAUCGCCUUGGAAACUACANGACUAGAGUAUA